RNAcentral lists this ribosomal RNA (495 nucleotides) under uncultured bacterium. Its description in RNAcentral is "partial 16S ribosomal RNA". It matches the Rfam family "Bacterial small subunit ribosomal RNA", at positions 28 to 507 of the family's 1533-position model. The record is from RNAcentral.
GACGAACGCUGGCGGCGUGCCUAAUACAUGCAAGUAGAACGCUGAAGGAGGAGCUUGCUUCUCUGGAUGAGUUGCGAACGGGUGAGUAACGCGUAGGUAACCUGCCUGGUAGCGGGGGAUAACUAUUGGAAACGAUAGCUAAUACCGCAUAAUAGUAGAUGUUGCAUGACAUUUGCUUAAAAGGUGCAAUUGCAUCACUACCAGAUGGACCUGCGUUGUAUUAGCUAGUUGGUGGGGUAACGGCUCACCAAGGCGACGAUACAUAGCCGGCCUGAGAGGGGGGACGGCCACACUGGGACUGGGACACGGCCCAGACUCCUACGGGAGGCAGCAGUAGGGAAACUUCGGCAAUGGACGGAAGGCUGAACGAGCAACGCCGCGUGAGUGAAGAAGGUUUUCGGAUCGGAAAGCUCUGUUGUAAGAGAAGAAAGAGUGUGAGAGUGGAAAGUUCACACUGUGACGGUAUCUUACCAGAAAGGGACGGCUAACUACGUG